AAAUUGAAGAGUUUGAUCAUGGCUCAGAUUGAACGCUGGCGGCAGGCCUAACACAUGCAAGUCGAGCGGAAACGAGUUAUCAGAACCUUCGGGGGACGAUA
RNAcentral lists this ribosomal RNA (101 nucleotides) under Vibrio parahaemolyticus. RNAcentral's name for it is "partial 16S ribosomal RNA". It matches the Rfam family "Bacterial small subunit ribosomal RNA", at positions 1 to 103 of the family's 1533-position model. RNAcentral also lists the same sequence under 1 other name. The record is from RNAcentral. Lineage: Bacteria; Pseudomonadati; Pseudomonadota; Gammaproteobacteria; Vibrionales; Vibrionaceae.